GGAUGCUGAUGAUUUCCUUUCCUGUCUGGAGAGAGCUCUCUGUGCUUUCUAGACUUAAUUCCACGGUCCGGCUGCUUAGGAAACACUGUGUUUUCAGUAGCUCGUCUCCAGAUCUCAUUCUUGCGUUGCCAUGUGCUGGAGCUUCCCCUCCAGGCUUGCAAAGGAAGGACUUUGCCAUAUGACUUUUAGAAACAGUGAGGAUCCUGGAUUUCCUGUGGCCUGGGAUUGGAAUCAGGAGUCAGGAGAGGAGCCACGGACCGCCUGAGUGUUGCAGAACGCUGACAGCGACAGUGACCUAACCCUUCCUCAUUCUGCAUUCUCCUUCCUCUGCCGGGUUACCCUCACCCUCUUGCAGCAUCUUCCAAGUGAGCCUGGAAGGUGGCUGAGUCUUAGGUCAACCCUAUCAAAACCACUUCCGCACCCCACUGUCCUUCCUGCUGCAGGAACACAGAACCAUGCCGCAGUUUCCUGCCGUCUCU
Molecule: long non-coding RNA, 479 nt
Filed under: Marmota monax (woodchuck)
Lineage: Eukaryota; Metazoa; Chordata; Mammalia; Rodentia; Sciuridae
Source: RNAcentral